AUAAUUUCUUCUGGAUUUCUAAGAAUAUCUCCGCGUUUCUUGCAUCGGAGGAUACUCGCUUUCCAUUCCUACGUGUAUCGUUGAUAUAAACCUUCCAAUUACCUCUUCAAUUACCUCUCGCGCUCCUGGGGAUCUUGGAUGCCAGAGACGUUGCAUAGGAGGCAUCUCUCUCUUCGGAUUUCCCAUUGCGCUUCAUUCCUCUCGUUUCAAGCGGGCUUAUGGCUACCACCUUUGCCGAAAAUCAGUGGCCGCUCUUCAUCUUCUUUGAAAUGGUUCUUUCAUAGGGGUUUACGACAUACGGAAAUUAAGCACGGGCUCCCUCGAUCUUAACUUUGACUCCCGUCUCUGCUUUCCUUCUGGAUGGAUCUCAUUAGUGCAUCAGUUAUUACUUUUGCUACUUGCGUUCUGCAACAAAGGCACGAUGGACCACCUCUUACAUGAUGAGAACAGGGCCACUGCCAGAUGAUCAUAUCUCACUUGAGAACCGGGACUGGAAGGAGGCUGAGAGCAAAGGCCUGUUAUUAUCGAAGUUCUCGGCCUCCCUUGAGUCCUGGCUCUCGAGUUGGCUAAUCAGGCGAAGCUGAUUUCUCCCAACCAAGGAUUGGAGAACCGCGCGUUGACAGGGAAUCAAUAUAGCUGAUUAUACGAAUUAUUACUUGUGGUGUGUUUUUCCUCUCGUUGAGAACUAUUCGAUAUUCCUUCACGAGGCCCGCUUUCGACGCAUCACAUGGAGAGAAAUUGCGAGAUAAAAGAGUCCUGAGUAUCCGCAUCCGUAAAUAAACGAAACAUUAAAGUUUUGUUCUUCUAGUUUUGAAAUAAUCGAAGGACUGUCUUAGGGUCUCCCACCAGUAUUGGUCUUGGUGAUUAUCACCUUCAAUUAGUCAAUGUAAUCAAGUUCCAGGAGUUUCCAUGAUCUGUAUCUUUGAUGACCUGUGUUUAAUAUAAUUUGCCUUGGUCG
This 958-nucleotide non-coding RNA is filed under the name Apopellia endiviifolia. Lineage: Eukaryota; Viridiplantae; Streptophyta; Jungermanniopsida; Pelliales; Pelliaceae. The record is from RNAcentral.